Austrofundulus limnaeus is the source of this 917-nucleotide long non-coding RNA. RefSeq lists it as uncharacterized. The transcript has 3 exons. Lineage: Eukaryota; Metazoa; Chordata; Actinopteri; Cyprinodontiformes; Rivulidae. The record is from RefSeq and is a predicted model, not a curated record.
AAUGUGAAGUUUUCUUUGUGUGGCAGUAGUGAGCUGACGUCAGGUCGGUUCCUUGAAGCUGAAUAAACCUGAGAAGAGUCUCCUUCAAUCUGCUAACCAAAGCGAGCGGGGAAAGAUUAUUAAAAAAAGAGGCGUCAAGAAGAGUUUAGCUGAGCCCGAAUAAAAACAACCCGAACUGGAAAUAAAGUCAAGUGUCGAAACUAUAAAAAGAAGAGAAAAGAUAAAAGGUGUUCCAGCAGUUAUGUCAAAGAGCUGAAGACAUCUCUAACAGUGAGUACUCUCUUCUCUUUACCCCUCGCUGCACCAACAGCUCUGUGCUACAAAACAGCCGAAGCGUGACUUUUUUUUUUUCCGAAACACGUAUUGUCUCACACUUCUGCUUUUAACGCUUUCUUUUUUUUAUUUUCCUUUUUUUUUAUUUUACCACGGCGUGUCAGGAUGAAAAAGAAAUAAAAAAAUCCUGCAGACUCCUCGGGUUUUUAGGCCUAAUUUGAUUUUCAUUCAUUCGCUGAAAGAGGAUGUUUUUUUUUCUUUCUUCUUCCCCAAUUAAAUUUAACAAGAGCCCCCUUGAAAAGCAGUUGUUAUGAUUACAUUACAAAUUCGAGGUUCAUUCAGUGAAUCAAGCAAUUAAUUAGAUUUCUCUCAUUCUAAUCAGAAUAUUUGUAUGAAACGCCUAAUAAACAUCCUCUGAGUUUGCUGUCUGCUCAGACGCUGACGCCGCUCCGGGCUCUGGAUCCCGGGGCCUCGCCGACUCGCUGCUGUCGAUUAUUUUACCGCCUCGAGGCGAAAGGGCGAUCGUGUUUUCACUUUGCUGCCACUGUUGGUAAAAUAUUUUACGAACCACUCAGUGUAUCUUAAUGGAAAUUUCAGGYAAUAAUAAUCAGAUGAGCCUCUACAAAGAUUUAACUUCUGGACUU